AUGUCCUUACCUUGCUGGCAUUUCGUACCUGGGGCAAGCUCCAUUUCAGCCAAUUCCAGUCUUAGUUCUUCUCCGGAGGGGGGAAAGCGGAAGGAGUUGGCAACAGCAACGGACUUGAUUGAAUGUACCGUGUACCGACUGCUUCGCCUAACCCUUAUGUACCAACAUACGAGACCUCUAUUCGACAAGGAGUAUCGGGUUUUGCAAGUUCUGCGACUCCUACCGCCGCUGCCGUAG
Vicia faba (fava bean) is the source of this 237-nucleotide non-coding RNA. NCBI's taxonomy places the organism in Eukaryota, Viridiplantae, Streptophyta, Magnoliopsida, Fabales, Fabaceae. The record is from the annotation of a GenBank genome assembly.